AGAAUCAACGCUGGCGGCGUGCCUAACACAUGCAAGUCGCACGAGAAAGGGACUUCGGCCCUGAGUAAAGUGGCGCACGGGUGAGUAACACGUGAAUAAUCUACCUCCGAGUGGGGAAUAACUGAGAGAAAUCUUAGCUAAUACCGCAUAAUACCCACGGGUCAAAGCAGCAAUGCGCUUGGAGAGGAGUUCGCGGCCGAUUAGCUAGUUGGCGGGGUAAUGGCCACCAAGCGAUGAUCGGUAU
RNAcentral lists this ribosomal RNA (244 nucleotides) under uncultured bacterium. Its description in RNAcentral is "partial small subunit ribosomal RNA". It matches the Rfam family "Bacterial small subunit ribosomal RNA", at positions 26 to 286 of the family's 1533-position model. The record is from RNAcentral.